RNAcentral lists this signal recognition particle RNA (97 nucleotides) under Gammaproteobacteria bacterium 28-57-27. RNAcentral's name for it is "signal recognition particle sRNA small type". It matches the Rfam family "Bacterial small signal recognition particle RNA". Rfam says of the family: The signal recognition particle (SRP) is a universally conserved ribonucleoprotein involved in the co-translational targeting of proteins to membranes. RNAcentral also lists the same sequence under 1 other name. Lineage: Bacteria; Pseudomonadati; Pseudomonadota; Gammaproteobacteria. The record is from RNAcentral.
CAUUCGUCCUCUCGCGACAGACAGCCGUGAAAUCCGCCAGGUCCGGAAGGGAGCAACGGUAGCGGUGCGUUUGGGUGCCGGGAUGUGGUGGGUGCGU